RNAcentral lists this non-coding RNA (956 nucleotides) under Clypeobarbus pleuropholis. Its description in RNAcentral is "12S rRNA". It matches the Rfam family "Bacterial small subunit ribosomal RNA". The record is from RNAcentral. Lineage: Eukaryota; Metazoa; Chordata; Actinopteri; Cypriniformes; Cyprinidae.
AUAAAGGCAUGGUCCCGACCUUUUUAUCAGCUAUUACUCAAUUUACACAUGCAAGUCUCCGCAAUCCCGUGAGUAUACCUCAAAACCUUUCCGGAAACGAGGACCCAGGCAUCAGGCACAAACACUUAGCCCAAAACGCCUAGCCAAGCCACACCCCCAAGGGAAUUCAGCAGUGGUAAAUAUUAAGCCAUAAGUGAAAACUUGACUUAGUGAGAGCUAAAGGAGGGUCGUUAAACCUCGUGCCAGCAAUCGCGGUUAAACGAGAGACCCCAGUUGAUAAUAUUUUACGGCGUAAAGGGUGGUUAGGGAUAAAACAAAAUAAAGCCAAAUGACCCCUUGGCUGUCAUACGCUUCUAGACGUCCGAAGCCCUUAACACGAAAGUAGCUUUAACUAAUAUACCCGACCCCACGAAAGCUAAGAAACAAACUGGGAUUAGAUACCCCACUAUGCUUAGCUAUAAACUUAGAUAUUUAUGGACAUGAAAUUCCGCCAGGGCACUACGAGCACCAGCUUAAAACCCAAAGGACCUGACGGUGUCUCAGACCCAUCUAGAGGAGCCUGUUCUAGAACCGAUACCCCCCGUUUAACCCUACCACUUCUAGUUGUUCCAGCCUAUAUACCGCCGUCGUCAGCUUACCCUGUGAAGGUAAUAAAAUUAAGCAAAAUGAGCAUAACCCAAAACGUCAGGUCGAGGUGUAGCGAAUGAUGUGGAAAGAAAUGGGCUACAUUUUCUACUAUAGAAUACUACGAAUUUACACUAUGAAACAGUGUUUGAAGGAGGAUUUAGCAGUAAAAGGAAAAUAGAAUAUUCCUUUGAAUCCGGCUCUGAGACGCGUACACACCGCCCGUCGCUCUCCCCAAUAAACGAAUAAAAAUAACUAAUAAUAUAACACUAAUUAAGGGGAGAUAAGUCGUAACAUGGUAAGUGUAUUGGAAGAUGCACUUGAACCAAACC